UUUGAAUCAUGUUUUUUCUUGAUUGUUGUUACUGAGUACAUUAUGUAUGCUUACAGGGACACGGGGCCAGUGGACAAGUACAGUGUGGGAUUUCAUGUGACUGGCCUGACAGUGGGCGUGGUCAGUCUCCGCCUCUCAGCAGUGGAUGGACAUGGGUCUGUUAUAAGCUCCUCUCACAAGAAUAUGCAAGUUUACCCUCCAUUCAGUUUGCAGCCCUGUAAACUUACUCUGUCAGUUGGAAGCUUGCCAAAGGUGAAACGGGAGGGAUUCAUCCUCAGUAUGUUGUCAGGUUCUCUGUGAGUGACAGCUCUGUCACCAUGGUAACUGAGACAGGACGGGUCAGAGGUGUGGCAGUGGGUGCAGUCAAACUCAGAGGAGCUCUUCAGACACAAGAUACAGAAGCAUUGAUUACCUUUUUACAGGAUGAAGUGGAGGUGGAGGUGUUCAACCUGACAGCAGUGAGGAUACAGGCUCCUUUAGUCACUCUAUGAACACCUUAUGAAAAGAG
Long non-coding RNA from Cyprinus carpio (common carp), 508 nucleotides. RefSeq lists it as uncharacterized. NCBI's taxonomy places the organism in Eukaryota, Metazoa, Chordata, Actinopteri, Cypriniformes, Cyprinidae. The transcript is spliced from 3 exons. The record is from RefSeq and is a predicted model, not a curated record.